This 253-nucleotide ribosomal RNA is filed under the name uncultured bacterium. Its description in RNAcentral is "partial 16S ribosomal RNA". It matches the Rfam family "Bacterial small subunit ribosomal RNA", at positions 524 to 776 of the family's 1533-position model. The record is from RNAcentral.
CACGGAGGCCCCAAGCGUUGUUCGGAAUUACUGGGCGUAAAGGGUGCGUAGGCGGCGGGGUAAGUCAGAUGUGAAAGCCCGGGGCUCAACCCCGGAAUUGCAUCCGAUACUGCCUUGCUUGAGGAUUGGAGAGGAGACUGGAAUUCACGGUGUAGCAGUGAAAUGCGUGGAUAUCGUGAGGAAGGCCAAUGGCGAAGGCAGGUCUCUGGACAAUUCCUGACGCUGAGGCACGAAGGCCAGGGGAGCAAAAAGG